AAUAAAAUGGCUGAGUUAAAUAAGCGAUAAAUUGUAAAUUUAUUUACGGGAAAAAUAAUUCUCUUUUAUUA
This 71-nucleotide transfer RNA is filed under the name Cyclidia fractifasciata. Its description in RNAcentral is "tRNA-Tyr". Lineage: Eukaryota; Metazoa; Arthropoda; Insecta; Lepidoptera; Drepanidae. The record is from RNAcentral.